Molecule: ribosomal RNA, 504 nt
Filed under: uncultured bacterium
Lineage: Bacteria
Description: partial 16S ribosomal RNA
Rfam family: Bacterial small subunit ribosomal RNA
Source: RNAcentral
AUUGAACGCUGGCGGCAGGCCUAACACAUGCAAGUCGAACGGUAGCACAGAGAGCUUGCUCUCGGGUGACGAGUGGCGGACGGGUGAGUAACGUCUGGGAAACUGCCCGAUGGAGGGGGAUAACUACUGGAAACGGUAGCUAAUACCGCAUAACGUCGCAAGACCAAAGUGGGGGACCUUCGGGCCUCACACCAUCGGAUGUGCCCAGAUGGGAUUAGCUAGUAGGUGGGGUAAUGGCUCACCUAGGCGACGAUCCCUAGCUGGUCGGAGAGGUGGACCAGCCACACUGGAACUGAGACACGGUCCAGACUCCUACGGGAGGCAGCAGUGGGGAAGAUUGCACAAUGGGCGCAAGCCUGAUGCAGCCAUGCCGCGUGUAUGAAGAAGGCCUUCGGGUUGUAAAGUACUUUCAGCGGGGAGGAAGGCGGUGAAGUUAAUAGCUUCACCGAUUGACGUUACCCGCAGAAGAAGCACCGGCUAACUCCGUGCCAGCCGCCGCCGUAA